UACAGAGGGGGCAAGCGUUAUUCGGAAUUAUUGGGCGUAAAGGGCGCGUAGGCGGCCUUUCAAGUGACGGGUGAAAUCCCCCGGCUUAACCGGGGAACUGCCUGUCAGACUGGGAGGCUUGAGACCGGGAGAGGUGAGUGGAAUUCCCAGUGUAGCGGUGAAAUGCGUAGAUAUUGGGAGGAACACCAGUGGCGAAGGCGGCUCACUGGACCGGUACUGACGCUGAGGCGCGAAAGCGUGGGGAGCAAACAGG
This 253-nucleotide ribosomal RNA is filed under the name uncultured bacterium. Its description in RNAcentral is "partial 16S ribosomal RNA". It matches the Rfam family "Bacterial small subunit ribosomal RNA", at positions 524 to 776 of the family's 1533-position model. The record is from RNAcentral.